RNAcentral lists this ribosomal RNA (256 nucleotides) under uncultured bacterium. RNAcentral's name for it is "partial 16S ribosomal RNA". It matches the Rfam family "Bacterial small subunit ribosomal RNA", at positions 524 to 776 of the family's 1533-position model. The record is from RNAcentral.
GACGUAGGUGGCGAACGUUAUCCGGAAUCAUUGGGCGUAAAGGGUGCGUAGAUGGCAUAAUAAGUUAUUGGUGGGAAAUCGAGGCUCAACCUCGUGGAAGCUAGUAAUACUGUUUUGCUUGAGUGCAGAAGAGGUUAACGGAACUCCAUGUGGAGCGGUAAAAUGCGUAGAUAUAUGGAAGAACAUCAAUAACGGCGAAGGCAGUUAACUAUUCUGUUACUGACAUUGAGGCACGAAAGCGUGGGGAGCAAAACGG